GAUGAACGCUGGCGGCGUGCCUAAUACAUGCAAGUCGAGCGAACAGACGAGGAGCUUUCUCCUCUGACGUUAGCGGCGGACGGGUGAGUAACACGUGGAUAACCUACCUAUAAGACUUGGAUAACUUCGGGAAACCGGAGCUAAUACCGGAUAAUAUAUUGAACCGCAUGGUUCAAUAGUGAAAGACGGUUUUGCUGUCACUUAUAGAUGGAUCCGCGCCGCAUUAGCUAGUUGGUAAGGUAACGGCUUACCAAGGCAACGAUGCGUAGCCGACCUGAGAGGAUGAUCGGCCACACUGGAACUGAGACACGGUCCAGACUCCUACGGGAGGCAGCAGUAGGGAAUCUUCCGCAAUGGGCGAAAGCCUGACGGAGCAACGCCGCGUGAGUGAUGAAGGUCUUCGGAUCGUAAAACUCUGUUAUUAGGGAAGAAAAAAUGUGUAAGUAACUAUGCACGUCUUGACGGUACCUAAUCAGAAAGCAACGGCUAACUACGUG
RNAcentral lists this ribosomal RNA (497 nucleotides) under uncultured bacterium. RNAcentral's name for it is "partial 16S ribosomal RNA". It matches the Rfam family "Bacterial small subunit ribosomal RNA", at positions 28 to 507 of the family's 1533-position model. The record is from RNAcentral.